Molecule: RNA transcript, 2169 nt
Organism: Manihot esculenta (cassava)
Lineage: Eukaryota; Viridiplantae; Streptophyta; Magnoliopsida; Malpighiales; Euphorbiaceae
Gene name: glyceraldehyde-3-phosphate dehydrogenase 2, cytosolic
Exons: 10
Source: RefSeq, a predicted model, not a curated record
AUAUAGGUUUUCUUUUAAAAUUCAUUUUUAUAUAAUAAAAUUAAUUAUUUCAGUAGGGAGUUAGGAGACUUAAAAUUUAAAUCUGUCAAACAGUUACAUAUUUAGUUACUAAAUCAAGCUGGACUAGCUAGGUUUAUAAAAUUAAUUUUUAUCUAUAUAUCUAUAUUUUUUGAAUUUAAACAUAUAUUAUGUUCUUAUUUAUGAUUUUACAUAUAAAACACUUUUUUUUAAACCAUGAAAUAUAUUUUAUUUACAUCCAAAUGGAUGUACUCAAUAAUAAAUAAAUAUAACUAUGGGUAAAACUAUAUUCUCGCUGCAUAUUUUGAUGGAUUUUUUAGAUAACAGCCUAAGAUCAGGUAUAAUAUUUGACCAUUGAAAAUCGCCGAUUGUACAGGCGUACGUAGAGCUACUAACAUCAGAGUUUACAUGGUUACCUCUGCGCAUUUUCAUAGAUAUGAGAAUCCUACUUUUACCGAUUCUUCCGUAAAAUGAAGAAAGGAUCAUCUAUUGUCACCCCACCGCUUUUGUCGAUAACAACGGUCACGACCUUAGAAUUGCAUGCUUCCCACACUUCUUAGCUCAUAACGCCACUUCCUCAGUUCCUCUCGUAACUUCACUCUCUUCUACAUUGCUCUGCCCUUCAAUUACUCUUUCUUUAGAUCGAGAUCUCUCUCUUCCAUUUUCGCUUCAUCUGCUACAAACAAUGGCCAAGGUUAAGAUCGGUAUCAAUGGAUUUGGAAGGAUCGGUCGUCUGGUUGCUAGAGUCGCAUUGCAGAGAGACGACGUUGAGCUCGUCGCUGUUAACGAUCCUUUCAUCACCACCGAUUACAUGACUUACAUGUUCAAAUACGACACCGUUCACGGACAGUGGAAGCACCGUGAUAUUAAAGUUAAAGAUGAGAAGACUCUUCUUUUUGGUGACAAGGCUGUCACUGUUUUUGGCGUCCGAAACCCAGAGGAAAUUCCGUGGGGACAGACUGGUGCUGAAUACGUGGUUGAGUCCACCGGAGUUUUCACUGACAUGGACAAAGCAGCUGCUCACUUGAAGGGGGGUGCAAAGAAAGUAAUUAUUUCUGCGCCUAGCAAGGAUGCUCCAAUGUUUGUUGUGGGUGUUAAUGAGAAGGACUACAAGCCUGACCUUAACAUUGUCUCCAAUGCUAGCUGCACUACCAAUUGUCUUGCUCCUUUGGCUAAGGUUAUUAAUGACAAAUUUGGUAUUGUUGAGGGUCUUAUGACCACUGUCCACUCCAUUACCGCCACACAAAAGACUGUUGACGGACCAUCAAUGAAGGAUUGGAGAGGUGGUAGAGCUGCUUCCUUCAAUAUCAUUCCUAGCAGUACUGGAGCUGCUAAGGCUGUAGGGAAGGUUCUGCCUGCACUGAAUGGAAAAUUGACUGGAAUGGCUUUCCGUGUUCCCACUGUUGAUGUCUCGGUGGUUGACCUCACUGUAAGACUUGAAAAGAAGGCAACUUAUGAAGAGAUAAAAGCAGCUAUCAAGGCAGAAUCUGAGGGAAAUCUGAAAGGAAUCCUUGGUUACACUGAAGAUGAUGUUGUCUCAAGUGACUUUGUGGGUGACUGCAGGUGAGAAGUGUUGUCUUGACAUGUAUGAGAUGGUUUCCUUUUGGGGUACAAAAACUGAUUUCCCAAUGAAUGCAUAGCUUGAGAUCUCUCUCGCCAAUAUGUUUCUCCAUUAUGUGAAGUCAAGCAUUUUUGACGCCAAGGCUGGAAUUGCAUUGAAUGAUAACUUUGUGAAACUUGUCUCUUGGUAUGACAACGAAUGGGGUUACAGGUAAUUAAUUUGCAAUUUGCAUUCCAAAGUACUUUGAAGAUGUUUCUCAAUGAAAGAUUUGUUGCUUCAUUUUGAAUGAACAUUCGCUGUUGGCUGCCAGCUCAAGAGUGAUCGACUUGAUCCGCCACAUAGCCUCCACCCAGUAAGCAGCUCUAAUAGCAUGAAGCGGGACUUCCUCCUUUCCGGCUUAGGAUGCAGUUUUCCAGAAGAGUUAUUUUAGGAAUAAUUAAGCUUUGAAGAACAUUUUAUGCAUCAUGUGGUUUUGAUAUGAAUUUUGCCGCAUUUGUACUUUGUAUUGGGAAGUUAACACAAGGCAAUCGUUGCCUAAACCUGGUUUGGUGGAUUUAAGACAUAAAUAAAUGGGUUUCAUUUAAUUUUCA